This 372-nucleotide ribosomal RNA is filed under the name uncultured bacterium. Its description in RNAcentral is "bacterial SSU rRNA". It matches the Rfam family "Bacterial small subunit ribosomal RNA", at positions 524 to 898 of the family's 1533-position model. The record is from RNAcentral.
UACGUAGGUGGCGAGCGUUAUCCGGAAUUAUUGGGCGUAAAGAGCGCGCAGGUGGUUGAUUAAGUCUGAUGUGAAAGCCCACGGCUUAACCGUGGAGGGUCAUUGGAAACUGGUCAACUUGAGUGCAGAAGAGGGAAGUGGAAUUCCAUGUGUAGCGGUGAAAUGCGUAGAGAUAUGGAGGAACACCAGUGGCGAAGGCGGCUUCCUGGUCUGUAACUGACACUGAGGCGCGAAAGCGUGGGGAGCAAACAGGAUUAGAUACCCUGGUAGUCCACGCCGUAAACGAUGAGUGCUAAGUGUUGGGGGUCGAACCUCAGUGCUGAAGUUAACGCAUUAAGCACUCCGCCUGGGGAGUACGGUCGCAAGACUGAA